AUGGCUGCGGACUGGACAUCGGCGCGCCGGGCGUGGGAGAAGUGGACCGGGAAGCAUGUCGGAUCUUCCGGGAUGCCGAUCAAGGCGGCGCUGCUGCUCAACUACGAUCCGACAGGACCAUCUCGCCUCUUCCCCAUGGUAGCAGAGCAAGAGGGAGCAAAAUUUACUGCUGUUGAUCUGCAGCCGUCCAUGGACUUCUUUAGAAGGAAUAAUCUGCAGACGGAAUUCUUUUCUAUUGGAUCAAACCAAUAUGUGGUCACCUCAAUCCACGAGCACUGGUUUUCUGCUCGUUGCGUUAACACGACACAGCCAGGAGGUGAAGGAGUUAUAAUUAUGCAGAUUGGAGCAUACUUGUUAGUCUCUAUGUAUGAUGGUUCAGUCGGUUCGGCUUCACGGGCAAUGGUGGCUGUUGAUCAGUUUGCAUGGCACUUUAACCGGAAAACACAUUAA
Molecule: ribosomal RNA, 450 nt
Filed under: Triticum aestivum (bread wheat)
Lineage: Eukaryota; Viridiplantae; Streptophyta; Magnoliopsida; Poales; Poaceae
Description: partial small subunit ribosomal RNA
Source: RNAcentral